GGUAGACGCCAUGGAGCCAGCCACCAGGUCAGACAUGCUGAAUCCUUCCUGGCACUUGACUUUGCGACCACAGGGCUCCAGAGGAGACAUUUGAUUGGCUUGCAAUCAGGAGGAGUUGCUGAGUUCCCAAGAGUCCCUGCAGUAUCACCAUUGACCUAAAUACUGCACCAGCCAUCAUUGCCCAGAGGCCCGGGUUUUUCAGCAAUUGCCAUGGAAACCUAGAAUUCUUAUUCUCUGCCUUGUGCCAUAUGUCUGAGUAAAGGUACAACAAGGAAAAUAACGAUCUAUAAUUUCUCAUAGGAAAGUCCCUCAGAUUCACAGCAACAGAAAAUAUAUAUUCCAUCUGCUUUCUCUCCCAGCUUUCCAGCAACUCCUCUGUAGCUAAUAAAUGAAACUGUUACGUUGUUGA
Molecule: non-coding RNA, 409 nt
Organism: Myodes glareolus (Bank vole)
Lineage: Eukaryota; Metazoa; Chordata; Mammalia; Rodentia; Cricetidae
Source: RefSeq, a predicted model, not a curated record